This 29-nucleotide non-coding RNA is filed under the name Rattus norvegicus (Norway rat). The record is from RNAcentral. Lineage: Eukaryota; Metazoa; Chordata; Mammalia; Rodentia; Muridae.
UCAUAGUUUUUUUCAUUUUGGUGGUCGAU